UGGGGAAUAUUGCACAAUGGGCGCAAGCCUGAUGCAGCCAUGCCGCGUGUAUGAAGAAGGCCUUCGUGUUGUAAAGUACUUUCAGCGGGGAGGAAGGGAGUAAAGUUAAUACCUUUGCUCAUUGACGUUACCCGCAGAAGAAGCACCGGCUAACUCCGUGCCAGCAGCCGCGGUAAUACGGAGGGUGCAAGCGUUAAUCGGAAUUACUGGGCGUAAAGCGCACGCAGGCGGUUUGUUAAGUCAGAUGUGAAAUCCCCGGGCUCAACCUGGGAACUGCAUCUGAUACUGGCAAGCUUGAGUCUCGUAGAGGGGGGUAGAAUUCCAGGUGUAGCGGUGAAAUGCGUAGAGAUCUGGAGGAAUACCGGUGGCGAAGGCGGCCCCCUGGACGAAGACUGACGCUCAGGUGCGAAAGCGUGGGGAGCAAACAGG
This 429-nucleotide ribosomal RNA is filed under the name Chloroflexota bacterium. RNAcentral describes it as "Chloroflexi bacterium partial 16S ribosomal RNA". It matches the Rfam family "Bacterial small subunit ribosomal RNA", at positions 355 to 776 of the family's 1533-position model. Lineage: Bacteria; Bacillati; Chloroflexota. The record is from RNAcentral.